UUCUAUACUUUUACUCCUAUACAUUUUCUGUUCGGCAUUUUCGUUACUUACUACAAAAAAAAAAACCUGUGUCCAAAUCUGCGGUAAAGGAAGUUUGUGGUUAGUGAUGACUUUAGGCCAUGUCCACACGUAGCUGGGUAUUUUUAAAAACAGAGAUUUUUCUUUGUUUUUAUUUAUUCUGUCCACACGACCUACGUGUUAAAAAUAUCUUUGUCCACAUGAAAACGCAAAACGCCCUGUUAAGUGCUUUCAGGAGCAUGCCUAGUUAAUCAGAAGCCAAGACAAAACUUUAUUACCGGUUCCGGUAGUUUAAUAACAAUGGCAUGUCGCGUGAAAGCGAUGCCCUUGACAUGCGAAAAUUUCAUUGUAGAAUGUAGAAGUCCAACCGGGUCUCAUCCAGAACUGCCAUUGCUGUGUGUGUUGUGGGACUUCUGUAUGCAGCAGCAGUGAGCUCCGUAUUACAUUCCGGCCCUCUGUUCAUGAACGUAAUGUGUGAGUAACAGCGCGUGUAUGUGCACGCAUGUAAAAAGUCCAGUAAGAAACGUUUUACGCAAGUUUAUGCAAGUCUGCUAUUGCACAAAAUAUCUUCAUAAACAAGGCUGACAUCAAAUCAAGGAGACGGGCACACAGACAAUGAUGUCAAUUUGUCAAAAUCUCUGUUUCCCCUGUCCACACAACACCACUCAAAACGGAGUUUUGGAAAAUCUUUACUUUGGAGUUUCCCAAAAGCUUCAUUUUCAACGACCUCAAACUGCAUUAGCAUGUGGACAAAAGGUCAAAACACAGAGAAAAAUCCCCGGCUACGUGUGGACAUGACCUUAGUUACAAGCGCACAUGUAUGGAAACACUGAUACUGUACACUUCAUUACAAUACAGUUCUAAAGGCCUCUCCUUUCUUUCAUGCAAGUCUUAAUUUUUGGAAGUGUAGGGGCGAUUUGCCUAUAGUGGAUCUGAGGAGGUGCACACUGGAUGUGUCGAUUUCAUUGCAGUUUCAUUUUACUUCAGAACAUUCAGAUACCCAACAGAAGGUGGUCUGACAUGAUGUCCAGUGUGAUCAACCUUGUUGUUGAUGAUAAUAAUGGGAACUAUUAAAAUUACACCAUAUUAUCCUUUCUCCUAUUCUAACACGUUUCAUUUUUCCCCUCUCACUCUCUGACAAUGCAAUGCAAAUUAGUGAGCUUAACUUCCUCUUAAAUGCACAUGAGAUAAGGCACAUGACAUUCAACAAGGUAUAGCAAUGUACCUGCCAGCACUCCCUCUGGUGGUCUGGUAGGGAAUUGUCCCUGACAGAUAUACACAUAUUAAACAUUUGUUUAUUUUCUGAAAACAGAGCCACUACAGGUGAUUAGUCCAGAAGCUCCUCUUGUUGCUGUAGCUGGUGAAGAUCUGGUUCUGCCCUGUUUCAUUAAACCCAACACUAAUGCUGUGGACAUGACUGUGGAGUGGUUGAGAGUAGAGAGAGUUUUUAGUUUGAUAGGGUUUUAUUAGUGCAUAGCUAUAAGGAUCAUGAAGACAAAAAUGAAGAUCAGGCUCAAUCCUACAAAGGAAGAACAUCACUGUUUAAAGAGGAGCUACAGAAAGGCAAUGCUUCACUCAAACUCUCAGCUCUCCAAGUCUCUGAUGCAGGAGAAUAUAAGUGUCUCAUUGAGGACAAAUCCUGGUAUGAUGACAUCACUGUUCAUGUUAUUGUUGAGGUUCUAGGAAGCCGCCCAGUGAUCAGGAUGGAGAGUUAUGAUAACUCAGGAGGGAUUAAUCUAGUGUGUGAGUCCAGAGGCUGGAACCCUGAACCUGAGGUUCUGUGGCUGGACAGAGAAGGAGCUACUCUGCCUGCUGAAGAUACACAGAUACACAGAGACACUGAGGGCUUCAGUGUGAAAAGACGCAUCACUGUUUAUGACUCCAACAGGUUUUACUGCAGACUUCAACAAAAACAUCACAUGAUGGAGGCAGAUAUUACCAUUAAUAGUGAAGUCUUUGGUGUUUGUAAGAGGCCUGUCUGCAUUGCAGUUUCAGCAUGUCUUGUUGCUGGAUUGCUAGUAACAUGUGUUUUUGGACUGAUACUAACUGCUUUUGGUUACAAGAAAGGUAAUAUCAAUCAUUUUCCUCAGUAACAUGUUUAACUUUAAUUAUACUGCAGUUUUACCUUUUUUAUUUUUUGUCCACACAGAUUCCCAACUGUGUUCCUGGAGAAAUCCAGGACAUAAUCAUUUUACUGCUUUAAUGCUCUCACUUUAAUUCAGGAAGGACUGUAAUUUUUCAGGGUUUUCCUGUCCUACAAGUAGUAAGACCCCAAGAAUAAAGAACCUGUGUUUUAUUCAGUAGUCCAGAGUUGCCCAUGCUGUCUGUAAAGAGUGAUUUAAAUCAGUAUGGACUCAAACUCUCACCUCAAUCUUUUCAUCUAUUCACUUCUAUUCCCACAAGCUCUUUCUACAAAAGUGAAAGGAUACUUCAUUAAUAAAAAAUAACUGGGAGAGUAUAGAGCCUCACCCUGUACAUCAGAAUGUUGUUAUAUGAGGCAGAAUAAUUAUUUAACAUAAUCAAGCUCACACUACCACAUCUGAAAGAUAAUGUACUAAUGUACUAGAGCCCUUGUUCAGCAGCAGGCAUGGGCUGGAAGAACUAUGAGUAGAGAGCAUGUUGUUUUGUCUGUCAGCAUGCUAUACUGCUGCUAAUCCUCCACACUGCAUGGCUGAUGUUUUAGUAAUGUUAUAGUAAGGUGCUAGCAGACAAUAGUGAAACAGAUUGUUGUCAGCCAAUCUGAUUGUUACCAUGGCAACAUGCCCAGCUCCAGCUAGCUGUGGCAGAGCAAGAAUCAACAAAAUAUUCAAUAUUACUAACUACCAAUGAGUGCUGGUUAAUUGUUCAGUAUGUACUUAUGAACUAAUUAUUGGUUUUAUUACUGUUGACUAUUAACAUUAACAUAACCCUGCUUAGUCCCUGCAUACUCAUGUGCUAUCUAAGAAACUGUGAUUUAAAUGACUACAUCCGUUUACUGUUAGUGUGCAUAUAUUAUUUACUUGGUUACAACAAUUGUGUUAAAAAAGUGUUGGUUAUACAAACACGUCAGUCAUAGUACAUUAUAUUACUUACUGACAAAUUAAUUUAUUUUAGUUAGUUAGUUUGUUUAUAUGUUUUGUAAACAAAUGUAUAUAUUUUUUCCUCAGAACUUCAAAAAUACAAGCAAAAUGCAGACCUUCUAAAGAAGAGGUUAUUUGCAGUGGAUGUGACUCUGGAUCCUGAUACAGCUCAUCCUGAACUCACUGUGUCUGAUGAUGGAAAACAAGUGACACAUGGAGACACAUGACAGGAUCUCCCUGAUACACCACAGAGAUUUAAUGAUCUCUGUGUUCUGGGAAAGCAGAGUUAGGAAAGGAGAUUUUAUUAUGAGGUGCAGGUCAGAGGGAAAUCUGCAUGGACAUUAGGAGUUGUGAGAGAGAACAUUAACAGGAAGGAGUGGAUUCCACUGAGUCCUCAGACUGGAUUCUGGACUGUGGGGGGUCUUAUGAGGAGGGUCUGGUCUCCUUUUAUUUUAUCUCCUUUUAUUUAUCCUUUUAUAAGUCCAGCUCUCAUAUCUACUCUUUCACUGCUCAGUCUUUCACUGAGAAACUUUAUCCAUACUUCAAUCCUUGGUAUAGUGAAAAUGGUAAUUCAGCACCACUGAUCAUCUCUGCUGUUACUGAAUAAAUAUCUGAUUUAUAUUUUUUAACAUUUUGAACUUUUGUAAAUAAUGGAUUUAUUCAUCUCUAGACAUUUAGGAAUUUUAUAAAGACGCAUGAAUGUUACUGGAUUAUUUAGAGCUUAUGUGCUGUUAAUAUGAUUCCUGUCAUUAAAGCUGCCAUCUGUGCUACUUUCUAGCUCUCACUUGAGUUGAAUUUAGAGUGUUAACUAACAUUUUCUCCACCACUAAAAAUCACCACUUAUUGUAGUUGAGAAUCUGACACCUUGCCAGGUGUAUAUCUGUUAAUGAGGUGAGUUUUCAGGUUAGGAUGCUAUUUAAUGCUGUUUUAUGCCGUUUAUUUUCUCCACAUGAUGUCAGUUUUAGACCUGCAUUUCUCCACAGACCUGCAGUUUUAAUCUCAUCUGAAGAUAUGGAGGAUUCACUAACAUGGCAGUAGUUAGUAAUUGUGACUAAUGUGGCAUUUACAGAUUUGUUCUAUUUCUGGAUGUCUUGUUUGAAGAAAAUACAGGGUUUAUAAUAGUAAUAAUAAUAAUAAUACUAAUAAUAAUAUUAUUAUUAUUAUUAUUAUUAUUAUUAUUUUUAUUAGCAGUAGUAGUAGUCUAAUUAAAAGUUCCAUGUCUUUCUUUUUGUUGUAUAAUUUGUAAAUAUUCAAUUCAAUUCAAUUCAAUUUUAUUUGUAUGGCGCUUUUAACAAAGAGCAUUGUCUCAAAGCAGCUUUACAUGAGAAACUACAUAAGAAAACAACAAACAUAAAAAAAAAAAAACUUAAAAGCAAGCA
Hemibagrus wyckioides is the source of this 4456-nucleotide long non-coding RNA. RefSeq lists it as uncharacterized. Lineage: Eukaryota; Metazoa; Chordata; Actinopteri; Siluriformes; Bagridae. The record is from RefSeq and is a predicted model, not a curated record. The transcript is spliced from 5 exons.